UUGGCCGUCCGCGAUUUACGAAAUUCUCUCCGCCACCUUCGCUUCACUUGUGUCUACCUGCGCGCGGAAAUCGCGAGAUGUCACGGUGUGGCGUCAUGGCGUCAUGGGCGUCAAGCGGAUCGUAUAGUUUCGUUCGUAGUUUCUUCGACCGCGACGUAAUUAGUUACCGCGUCGCGAGAUUAAUACCGGGAGUGCCGUGUGCCUUUAGUGUCGCGCGAUCAUAAGAGGAGACGAUAUCGACGAUAUCGUCGAUUUUCGCUCGUGAACGUCGUCGCGUUGUGAGUGAGUGCGACAAUGGACCAACGGAGUAACGGAGGACGAUCUAGGAGAGGAGAACGGGGCCUGGGAGGCAUCGGGCGACGGCGGAGCGACCGUGGGAUCAACGCAGAAUUACAACUCCGCUGUUGCGCAUCGGCCGCUUAAUGCUAAGGUAGCACCGCCACGAUUUUCUCCGAAAUGGCACGGGAUACAAAAUUGUUAUUAGUGGUACAAAUUAGUACAAAAUGGGUACUAAAUAUUCUGAUAGGUCCGGUUUGAUUCUGCCGAUUUGGUCCUGCUAGCU
This is a long non-coding RNA of Temnothorax curvispinosus, 562 nucleotides long. RefSeq lists it as uncharacterized. Lineage: Eukaryota; Metazoa; Arthropoda; Insecta; Hymenoptera; Formicidae. The record is from RefSeq and is a predicted model, not a curated record. The transcript is spliced from 3 exons.